UACGUAGGGUGCAAGCGUUGUCCGGAAUUAUUGGGCGUAAAGAGCGUGUAGGCGGCCUCGUAAGUCCGCUGUGAAAGUCCAGGGCUCAACCCUGGAAAGCCGGUGGAUACUGCGAGGCUAGAGUCCGGAAGGGGCGAGUGGAAUUCCUGGUGUAGCGGUGAAAUGCGCAGAUAUCAGGAGGAACACCGGUGGUGUAGACGGCUAUCUGGACCGUAACUGACGCUGAGACACGAAAGCGUGGGUAGCAAACAGG
RNAcentral lists this ribosomal RNA (253 nucleotides) under uncultured bacterium. RNAcentral describes it as "partial 16S ribosomal RNA". It matches the Rfam family "Bacterial small subunit ribosomal RNA", at positions 524 to 776 of the family's 1533-position model. The record is from RNAcentral.